AUACUUACCUGACGGAAGAGACACCAUAAUCACGAAGGUGGUUUUCCCAGGACAAGGCUCAUCCAUUGCACUCCAGAUGUGCUGACCUCUGAGAUUUCCCCAAAUGUGGGAAACUAGCCUUUAUAAAUUUUUGUAGUGAAGGAUUGUGUUCAUGCUCUCCCUCA
RNAcentral lists this small nuclear RNA (164 nucleotides) under Neotoma lepida (desert woodrat). Its description in RNAcentral is "U1 spliceosomal RNA". It matches the Rfam family "U1 spliceosomal RNA". From Rfam's summary of the family: U1 is a small nuclear RNA (snRNA) component of the spliceosome (involved in pre-mRNA splicing). Its 5' end forms complementary base pairs with the 5' splice junction, thus defining the 5' donor site of an intron. The record is from Rfam by way of RNAcentral. Lineage: Eukaryota; Metazoa; Chordata; Mammalia; Rodentia; Cricetidae.